AGCCGCGGUAACACCAGCGCCUCAAGUUGCAUCCGCGUUUAUUGGGUCUAAAGCAUCCGUAGCCUGUUUUUUAAGUCUUUUGUUAAAUUUACUAGCUUAACUAGUAACUUGCAAAAGAUACUGAAAAUCUCGGGACCGGUAGGAGUCAGGAGUAUUCUGAGUGGAGCGGUAAAAUGUGAAAAUCCUCAGAGGACUAUCUGUGGCGAAGGCGCCUGACUAGGACGGGUCCGACGGUGAGGGAUGAAAGUUAGGGGAGCGAAAUGGAUUAGAUACCCAUGUAGUCCUAUCUGUAAACUCUGUGAGCUAGGCGUUGCACAAACUAUUAUGUUUAUGCAGUGUCGUAGUGAAGACGUUAAGCUCACCACCUGGGAAGUACGGUCGCAAGGCUGAAACUUAAAGGAAUUGGCGGGAGAGCACCACAAGGGGUGCGGCGUGCAGUUUAAUCCGAAAAUACGCGGAAAAUCUUACCAGAAGCGCCGGCAGGAUGAUGGUCGAGCUGAAGACUCUACCGGACGAGCCGAGAGGUGGUGCAUGGCC
Molecule: ribosomal RNA, 537 nt
Filed under: uncultured archaeon
Lineage: Archaea
Description: bacterial SSU rRNA
Rfam family: Archaeal small subunit ribosomal RNA
Source: RNAcentral